UGAGCAAUCUGCCCUUCUCAUCGGAAUAAGCGUUGGAAACGACGUCUAAUGCCGAAUACGACCUCCUUUCGCAUGAUCGGAGGUGGAAAGCUCCGGCGGAGAAGGAUGAGCUCGCGGCCUAUCAGCUAGUUGGUGGGGUAACGGCCUACCAAGGCGACGAUCCGUAGCUGGUCUGAGAGGAUGAUCAGCCACACUGGGACUGAGACACGGCCCAGAUCCUACGGG
RNAcentral lists this ribosomal RNA (225 nucleotides) under uncultured bacterium. Its description in RNAcentral is "partial 16S ribosomal RNA". It matches the Rfam family "Bacterial small subunit ribosomal RNA", at positions 118 to 345 of the family's 1533-position model. The record is from RNAcentral.